Molecule: long non-coding RNA, 1532 nt
Organism: Arvicola amphibius (Eurasian water vole)
Lineage: Eukaryota; Metazoa; Chordata; Mammalia; Rodentia; Cricetidae
Exons: 4
Source: RefSeq, a predicted model, not a curated record
GCCAGACUUCUCGAAGUUCGAGUUGCUGUCUCUUCUCUGCUCCAGUCUUUCCCCAGGCCCUGUCUCUCAUCAUAUGAUCCUUUCAACUUCGCCAUGGGCUUGGGCUGAUAGUGAGGAGAACCCUUGCCUUAGAUGAUGCAUUAAGUUGGAGCACCAUUGGAAGGUCUGUCAUCAGUGGAAGCAGAGGGCAACUGCCAUCUCUGGCCCUUCUGUCUGAUCUUCUGGGUCUAGCAUCACAGUUUAUUCCAGGGCAGGUGCCGGCAGGUGUUUCAUGAGGCUGGAGUGACACUGGAAGCCCUGGUCACAGUCAGCCCAUCGGAAGGUGUCCUCAGAGGAUAGCAUCAGCAAGGGCUUUGCCACAGGUGAGCUCUGGCUGAAGCGGUGGCUGCAGAGAUGACAGAUCCAAGAAGGUUUAGCACACCAAGUCUUCUCGGAGAUAUCCUCAAAGAAUCUUUGCCUCUAAGGACUCGGUGUUGCAAAGCGAAGAAGAAAAGGGAUCCAAGAUCUAAUGGUACAUCGCAAUAUUUGAUUAGCGCCCCUAGCCAACUGAUAAACACAGAUUCCAUGCCCUGAAAUCCUACAGGAGCACACCCAAAGACUUCCAGGGGCCUUUUUGCCACAUAAUUGUUGACCAUUUGGGCCUGAAUUUCAAGAGGACACAUUAGUUAGCGGCAGGGGGUUGGUGUGUGGCCGGUGAUGGGGCUUGGCCCCGUGACAACUUGGAAGACUUGCCACUGAUUUAGAAAGAACAGCAACCCGUGUUCUGAAGAGAGAGGGGGUGGGAGGACAGAGCUCUCUUCAGAACACUAAUGAGAAUAAGAUGAAACCACUUCAAAAAGAGGCCCAGUCAGUGGCAGAGAAGGGUGGCUGUCCAUGUGGUUGGCUGAUGGUUGACAUCUCCACAGGGUCAUGCCCCGUAUCUAGAGCAGACUGACAGGGAUCAGUGGGGGGGAUCCCUUUGAGUGUCCAGGCAGCUGUCACCAGAACCCCCAUGCAAACACAAAUGUGUUUUUGUUUAGUUGUCCAGGUUUCUCAGCGUUUCCAUCUGAGGCUCCAUGAGGCUUCAGUAGUCACAGAAGAUGCAGAAUUUUGUGUAUGUUGGAUGUGAGAUGUAAGUAAGGAGAGCAGACAUUUCCUAUAACGAUUAGAAAAUCUGAGGAAACAUGGUGGCUUUAGGAAUGGCAUGUGGGGGGGACAAUGGAGCUAGCCUUGGCUAUAUAUCUGAAUGAGGGUAACCUGAAAUGAGGAUGUGUUAUUGUAACUGUCAGGCUUCCUACUUUCUCAUUUCACAACAAGGUAGUAGUGAGGUGGAGGCCACUGGGUUAAAUGUCCUCUACUCAUGAUCCAGAGAGACCUUAGGAGAUUUUGCAAAGCCACUGAAGUAGAUUGUAAUAUGCUGUACCUUCUUUAGAAAGACCCUUUCCACCACAGAAGAGGUUUACCGAUUUUAUCACUUUUCCACGAAUGGUCACUGGCUGCCCAAAUAUCAAGAGCUCCUGGAUUAGAUUGAUAAACAUCUCUGCCUCUCACAA